RNAcentral lists this long non-coding RNA (484 nucleotides) under Salmo salar (Atlantic salmon). RNAcentral's name for it is "lncRNA (ENSSSAG00000095610.1)". The record is from RNAcentral. Lineage: Eukaryota; Metazoa; Chordata; Actinopteri; Salmoniformes; Salmonidae.
CCUUAAAUGUGCAACUGUUGAAGUGCAUAGUUAACUGCUCCAUUUUUACAAAAUUAUAAUAAAGUUGUUUUGAAGAAUACAGUCUCUCUCCUUUUGGUUAGAAUUUCUACGACAAUUUUGUGACAGCGGUGGAAUGGCUAACUCCGCUUGCUGAUUGCUCCCGGGGAGAUGAGGUUAACUGUGCAGGGGUUGCGUCAGACGUGGCAGGGAGCCCCACACCCAGUGAGUGGAUACGCUAUUCCGAACAUACAAAAUUAAUUGAGGAAAGAUGCUUGUUUCUGUCGGCUCGAUGCGUGAAGAAGCCAGGUGGCUGUACUGACUCCGAUAGCUUGUCUCGAGUGAGCCAUGUUUCCGUGAAACAAAGAACGUUACAAUCUCUGAUGUCUCUCUGGAAGGCAACUCUUGCUCGGAUUUCGUCUACCUUGUUGUCAAGAGACUGGACAUUGGCGAGUAGUAUACUCGGGAGCGGUGCGCGAUGUGCCCG